CCCGGCUGCUGCGCCUGAGCCCCAAGACCCCCGCACCUGGGCGCGCGCUCUGGCGCAGUGCCUGGUGCGAUGUCCGCGUCAGCCUCUCUCCUCCGGGAGAGGCAGGGAGUGUGACGCCCAUUUUACCAGCGGGCAAACUGAGGCUUAGGGAUGCUGGGUGAUUUGCCCGAGGACGCACACAGAGGGAAGGGCCAAGCCGGGAUUCCAACUCGGGACUCCCCGCUUCUGGGGAGACCGGUGAGGCCCCCGCGACAUGGCCCUCCCAUCCCCAAGCCUCUCGUGCAGAUCUCCGCUCUGUGGGACUUGAUUGCGGGCUGCGGGCCCGUGGCUCCUGCAGGCAGAGAGAGGACGGGAGAGGAGACGGCUACGAGGCUUGGCUACGGUGCUCCCGCAACAAGGAACCGGAAACCCUCUUCGUUUGUUGAUCUAAAUAUACAAAAAUAAAACUAGUUGCUGGGUUCUCAGACGGAGUCUCUGCGGCAUUAGGAGGCCCACCCUUAUUUUCUCUUUUCUUCACGCAGGAAUCAGGUCCCUGGCCUGGGGGCGGCAAAAGGAGAUGGCGGUGGGUCAAGUGGGCGCGCAGGCUCAGACCUGGGGCUUCUGAGCCCACGCCCAGGUAUCUCGGACCUCUCACUUCUGAGGCCACCUCCUGCCCUUUAGAAUGAAGGGCUGGCACAGUUCUGCCAGGAUGCACGUUUAGUGACUUCUGUCAGACUGAAGCAUCCCCUCGCCGCAAGCGCCUGAAGUGUGAGAGGCACUGUUCUAAGUGCUUUAAUUCGCACUUGUUUAAUCCUCACAGGAGUCAACUUGAAUGGGCACACUUAUUCCCACUUUACAGAAGAGGAAACUGGGGCACAGAAAGACUGAGUAAUUGCUCAGGGGGCAUGCUCCAAGAAAGAGGGAGAGACAGGAUUUGGACCCAGACAGGCUGGCUCCCUAGUGCUCUGGACUUUGGUGUGGAUGAUCCAACUCAAGCCUUCUCCUUUUUCCCUCCUAUGUGAUCUUGCAUGCGUUUGUGCAGAGAAUGAGAAGGCAGAUCAAAGUUACAGAUGCUGCGAGAACAUCACCAAGCAGAAUCUUGGGUGCUGUCCCCACCUCUCUGUACCUGCUCCCUCCCAGAGAAGCCAGCCUCCACUUGCUGUCCCGGGCCUUCUCUAUCUGAAAAAAGUUGAAGGAGCACAUGUCCUUGCGCAGGAAGAGGCUGUUCAGCGUGACCGCCCCGAU
Molecule: long non-coding RNA, 1224 nt
Filed under: Pan troglodytes (chimpanzee)
Lineage: Eukaryota; Metazoa; Chordata; Mammalia; Primates; Hominidae
Description: long non-coding RNA NONPTRT005357
Source: RNAcentral